Oncorhynchus gorbuscha (pink salmon) is the source of this 682-nucleotide long non-coding RNA. RefSeq lists it as uncharacterized. The transcript is spliced from 3 exons. NCBI's taxonomy places the organism in Eukaryota, Metazoa, Chordata, Actinopteri, Salmoniformes, Salmonidae. The record is from RefSeq and is a predicted model, not a curated record.
CAGAAGCAACCGGCUGCUGAACCGCAGCAGAACGAACCGGCCAUCAUACCCCAGCAAGUGGGGUAUCCAGCUCAAAUGUCCCAGCAGCGGAAGCAACACACUGCCAUGCCACAGCACCAGCUGACCCCCAUGCCUCAGCAAUUAUGGCAUGUAGCACAAAUGCCCCAGAAGCAACUGGCCCCAAUGUCUCAGCAGAAUCACUACGAAAGCACUGAAGAUGGUGCCUCUAGUAGCACUCAGGCCAGCAUCGUUGAACAGUCGGGUGUCAUCCCAAUCUAUUCCUACAGUUCCAAAUCGCACUACGAGAAUGGCAGGACUGUAUUCUCCCUAACCCGCUACACUCCUAGGGAGGCUAUGCCUGUUGAUAGUGGAAAUGCUCCCAAGGACAGUUUUGUUCACUAGUGAAGGAUUCUGCAAGGAAAAUGUAAUGGAUUCAUCCUCUAGAAGCUAAUGGAAGUGUCUGGUGCUCUUGCUACUCCAGCGUGAGGGAGUCCAUGAACAGUUCUACUUUCAAAAAUGCCUGGUGUCUUUGAAAUAAUGGUUCUCGUGUCCAUUGCUUGCUAAUUGAGAACAGGUGGUGUGCAGUCUGUAGUAAAAAUGACUGCUCAGUUCAUUCUUUGGUUUUCUAAUCUUUUACCUUUGCUACUUGUUGUUCAAAAUAAAAGCUUGGGGUGAGUUGUCA